RNAcentral lists this non-coding RNA (31 nucleotides) under Mus musculus (house mouse). The record is from RNAcentral. Lineage: Eukaryota; Metazoa; Chordata; Mammalia; Rodentia; Muridae.
UGCAUGAAGGUAUAGACUAGGAUUCUGCACA